UACGUAGGGACCGAGCGUUGUCCGGAAUCAUUGGGCGUAAAGAGCGUGUAGGCGGCCUAUUAAGUCCUGCGUGAAAUCUCGGGGCUCAACCCCGAGCGGUCGUGGGAAACUGGUUGGCUAGAGUGCGGGAGAGGAGAGUGGAAUUCCUGGUGUAGCGGUGAAAUGCGCAGAUAUCAGGAAGAACACCCGUGGCGAAGGCGGCUCUCUGGAACGCAACUGACGCUGAGACGCGAAAGCGUGGGGAGCAAACAGG
RNAcentral lists this ribosomal RNA (253 nucleotides) under uncultured bacterium. RNAcentral describes it as "partial 16S ribosomal RNA". It matches the Rfam family "Bacterial small subunit ribosomal RNA", at positions 524 to 776 of the family's 1533-position model. The record is from RNAcentral.